CGGACACCGACCGGAGGGGACUGUGCCUUCCAGCCCUGCGCCACCCGAGGCUAGGCCCGCGCCUGCUGCCUUGGCUUGCAACUCGGGAAAGUUCUCAGGCUUCCCCAGCUUGCACCGGCACCCUCACCUUUCCUGCCUGGACAAGCUGGCGACCUCCCGGUCCUCCUUUCAAAUUCUGUUGGUCUCGAGAUCUGCGGUGAGCACGGAACGUCUCAUCUCUAGCUAGCCCUGGUAACCGACCUCACGCACUCCUCAGGGCUAACUGUGGAUCAUUCAUUUCAUCACAAGUGAGAUAACCUGUGCACUGAGCAGUCAGUCGAUGGCGGUUCUCGGGAAUCCAAGGCGAAGGAACGCUCCCCCAACCCCCUUGUCCCGGUGGCUAAACGCAGACGUGGAGUCCCCACCCGGCCCUCUCCGGGUACACCUCAGCCAAGUGUGAGCUCGGUGGGAAGGACUCUUCUCUGGAGGAGUUCACCUUGCCAACAGGUGUGGCACCCGAAAGAAGAGCCAGCACGGCCCCACAA
Molecule: long non-coding RNA, 524 nt
Filed under: Mus pahari (shrew mouse)
Lineage: Eukaryota; Metazoa; Chordata; Mammalia; Rodentia; Muridae
Description: lncRNA (MGP_PahariEiJ_G0004778.1)
Source: RNAcentral